This is a long non-coding RNA of Neofelis nebulosa (Clouded leopard), 3480 nucleotides long. RefSeq lists it as uncharacterized. The record is from RefSeq and is a predicted model, not a curated record. The transcript has 3 exons. NCBI's taxonomy places the organism in Eukaryota, Metazoa, Chordata, Mammalia, Carnivora, Felidae.
CUAGCCUAAGGGGCUGGCCAGAGAAGGAAUAAAAUUUCCUUUUUCUUGGGCACAUUGGUCAAGAUAGUACUAUAAACACCUCCUCUUGGUAGCUUUCAUUUAUUGAGCCUUUACUCUGUGCAAAGUGAUGUGCUAAAUAAUUUUAAAUGGAUGAUUUUGUUUCAUCAUCACAUUAACCUUAAGAGUUAGGUACUAUUAUCCUUACUUGAAGAUGAGGAAGUUGUUACCCACAGUCACAAAGUGAAUAAAAGCUAGGAUUCAGAGCCACGUUUGUCCAACUCCAAAGCCCUUGCCAUGUCAAGUUUAAUACAGUGGUAAAGCACUGGGAUGCUAAGGUUAGAGUGAUCUGGCUUCCAAUUCUAGUUCUGCCAAUUGUUUGUUCUAAGUGUUUGUUCCUGGGAAAGUUACUUAAUGUCUAUGUAUUUAGCAUCUUUCUCUAUAAGACUGGAAGAAUAGAGAACUGAUAAGAAGGAUAAAUAAUACUAAUAUAACUUAGGUACCUCACACAACUCCUAGCCACAGAGUAAGCACUCAGAAAAUCUUCACUGCUAUUACUCCAUACUGUCUUCUAUCAUCACAAUACAACCUGUCAUGUCACCUUUCCUAUAUGGCACAACUCCCACCUGGGAGUCAGGUGGUCUGAGUUCUUGUCACAGCUCUUUUACUAUGUCUGUAAUUGAACAAGCUACUUAACCUUCUGCAUCUAUGUUGUCUCGUACAAAAUUAUGACAGCAGAACCCAUAUAAAGAGAUAAAUGUGUUAUGUAGUCAUAAGGAAUCAUUCCAUCUAUUACUUUCUAGAGAUCAGAAUAUAAUAUUCAUAUUUCUAUUCCCAUCCCCCUUUCCUAGACCAACGCUUCCCAUUCUUAUUUCUCCCCCAAAGAAAGAGAAAGGAAAUCAGAUGAGGUGAAUAACAUGGAAAAUAAUUAAAAAGUUAACAGAGUGAGGGUGCCUGGGUGGUGCAGUAGGUUAAGCGUCCAACUUCGGCUCAGGCCAUGAGCUCAUGGUUUUGUGAGUUUGAGCUCUGCAUCAGGUUCUCUGCUGUCAGCACAGAGCCUGUUUUGAUACUCUCAAACAUGUGCUGCUCCCUUAAAGUCCAGAAAAUAUUUCCUGGCCUCACUAGGCACUUGUUUUUGAGUAUAUGAUAAGUUAGCUCUUAGGAUGAAAAGCCAAGAGUCCCCCUCUUUCUCUGCCCCUCCCCACCCCCACACAUGUGUGCUUGCUCUUGCACUCUCUCUCUCUCAAAUACAUAAACAGUUUUUAAAAGUUAGCACAGUGGAUAUUUGAUUAUAAUAAAGAAUUGAUAAUAUUUUGGCUGUGAUAAUGAAACUAUGGUUCUGUUUAUAAAAAAAAGUCUGUCUUUUAGAGAUACAUAUUGAGAUAUUUAGUGAUAAAAUGGUAUGAUGUCUGAUAUGAUGUCUGGAUUUGCUUCAAAAUAAUCCAGGGGUGGGGGAUAAGAGUAUCGGAUAAUGGGUGAGGGCAUUGAUGUAAUAAUAUUGGCUAUGAAUGACAGUUAUUCAAACUGGGUGAUGAGUGCUUGGGGUUCCUCAUAUGAUUCUCUCUGCUUUUGUAUGUGUUUAAUAUUUCCUAUAAUACAACUUUAAAAAAAUAUCAAGGGUUGCAAACUCAAAUGCCUACUGAGCAAGGCAGGUAAAAAAUGAGAGAAGCAAACCAGAUGGGGACUGUGAAGAACCAAGGAAGAAUAAGUCUCAUCCAGAGGGGAUGGCCACACUUAGCUCCAGCUGACUGUUGCUGGAUGGAAAUGUGGGGCUGGGCUGCCAGAUUCUCCAGUUUUUCAAGAGAAUCCAAAACUAAAAAAAAAAGUAUAUGUAAUAUUCCAAUCCUUAAAUGUUGGAAACUAAUUCAAAUAUAUUUUAUCAACACUGUGGUGGCCAACUAAAACAAGUCUGAGAACCAGAUUCAGCCUACAACUGCCAAUUUGUAACCUUUGCCUCGAAGGCUAAUUUUAGGCAAUUUUCACAACUCAGAAGCACUAGAAAGUGAUGGAAAGCCCUUCCACAAUCGAUAAAAUUAGAAUGCCAUAACUCUGCCCUGAUCUGCUUCAUUGUAGAUACUGCUCCUAUAUAUGCUUUGUUUUCUACCCUCCGGCCCCCACCUGAGUUUCUCUAACUUUAUCUUUUACUCUUAUUGCAUAAUUCUGAUCUCAAAUCGGUGACCACUGAGGACUAAGACAUCAUGGAGUUCCAAGACAAGAAGCCUUGCAAUAACAAAUGAAGCUUUAGGCUCCAUCUGGCCAGACCCUUCUUUCUGACACAUUUUGCUCCUCUUCUCAAUGAUAAGCAGCAAGGUGAUCAAAGCAAGUUUAAAAGCUUAAAUACCUCAGAAGUAUACUGUCUUCUUGGAUUUCACAAGUCAAAUUCAGUUCAAAUUGUAUUAAGAUCAAUGUUCAAUUAACUUAAUAAAUAUUUUUCUUUUGUAAUUGAAGAAGUAUAAGUCAAACGCUAAUUAAUAUGUUUAAAAUAUUUUUUCUAUUGUGACAUUAGCCAACAUAAUAUUAAGUUCAGUUAAAAAAAACUUCCCAAAUGUAUGAACUAAUUUAAACAUUAAAAAUAUAAUAGUUCUUGAUAAGAAAGUUAGUUACUUUCUUUAAUUAUGAGGGGUGUGAGUGAGUAUAAUGGGUAGUAAAUGGAAAGUUUUAGUUUAUUUAUUGGAUCGAUUAUCUAUGUGAUAUUUUCCCUCAAAAUGGAGUAUGCUGUGAAUGAAUUGCUGUCUAAUCUUUAUGCUAUAAUGCAAAAGUUAUAAAAAUAAUAGCAAAUAUAUUUUCACCUUAUCAGGCAAAGUAGCUCAGGGAUACUUCAUAAAAUCUGUAUAUGCACCAUCACUUGUUUUGAGUGCUACAAGCUGGAAAUAGGGAUUCCUAAAUGCAAGUUUUUUAUUGUACAUGAUGCUUUAAAAUAAUGCAAGGUUUCAGCUCCCUGUCCCCAGGGCCUGUUCAGGGUGCCAUGUGCUCAUGGCACACUGCUGGCUGAAGGAGCCCAGUCCUGGGAUGUAUAGUCAUAUUCCAUGGGUGUGCCUGUUCUCCAUCACAUCCUCCGUAGUUGGUGUUCAUAGCAUUUGCUUUCAGGAAGACAGAAUGUCGGUCUUGUGUGCCACCCACAGUGCAUCCCUCCCUUACCACCUAUGUGACUGAGGUUGGCUUCUGUGUUGACCUUUAUAAAACAAAACCCUCAAAUCAAGUUGCUAUAAUUAGAAAAGAAAGAAAGGAAGGAAAAAAAAAGGAAGGAAGGAAGGAAGCCAACAAGCAAGCAAACAAACUGGGUUUGAACAAAUAGGUUACAAAAUUGUUUGUGUCUUUUCCUACCACAAAUGAUCAUAACUUAUGAUUUUCUUAUAGAAUUGAUUUUUACAUAACUUAAAAUUAUGCUCUAAAAUCAAAAGUUAAAAAAUACAGAUAAUCCAAAUAAAGACUGUAAAAAUUAAAAAUACAAUCCUAGAGAGAAUAACUAUGAAAAUUUUGGUG